UUGAAGUCGAGAAUGAAAGGAAAAAUUAAAAUAAACUGUCUUAAAAGUUUUUUUUAAAAAUUGCUAAUAUGGUGAAAAUUCCAUAAAAAUUUUUAAUAGACGAGAAGACCCUAUGAAUUAUUAUUAAAAAUUUUUAUUUAAAAAUUUUAAAUUUUUGUUGGGGCAACAAAGAAUAUAAAAUUCUACUUAAUGAAUUUUACAUUUGAAGAAUUACUAUAAAUGAAUUUAAUU
Molecule: ribosomal RNA, 231 nt
Filed under: Partulina proxima
Lineage: Eukaryota; Metazoa; Mollusca; Gastropoda; Stylommatophora; Achatinellidae
Description: partial 16S ribosomal RNA
Source: RNAcentral